Ribosomal RNA from Lepisosteus oculatus (spotted gar), 119 nucleotides. NCBI's taxonomy places the organism in Eukaryota, Metazoa, Chordata, Actinopteri, Semionotiformes, Lepisosteidae. The record is from Ensembl.
GCCAGUAGCCAUAUCACACUGCAACUCACAACUGGCAACCCACUAAAGCAAAGCAGGUGUGAGCCUGGUCAGUACCUGGAUGGGAGACCUCCUGGGAAAAAUCAAGGUUGCUGCUGGAA